GAGUUCCAUGCCUGUCCAGCGCUGAGAGCUGCCGGCCAACUUCGCGGUCUCCACGUCGCGCUUAACGUGGCAGCAGCACGCACUUCCAGCAUCUUUUUUUAGACAGCAUCUUUUUCAGCCUCGCUCUGUCGCCGAGGCUGGAGGGCAGUGGCGCGAUCUAGGCUCACUGCAGCCUUGACCUCCCGGGUUCAAGCGAUCCUCCUGCCUCAGCCUCCGGAGUAGCUGGGACCACAGGCGCGCGCCGCCACGCCCGGCUGGUUUGUUACUUUUAUUUUUGUCUCCCUAUUUUGCCCAGGCUAGUCUGGAACUCCUGGGCUCAAGCGAUCCGCCCACCUCGGUCUUCGAAAGUGCUGGGAUUCCAGGCGUGAGCCGCCGCGCCGGCCUUAACAGCGCAUUUUCACCAGCCCCGCCCCGGCCGCGCGCGGCACUGGAAACCCCAGCGCCUUCUGGACGGCGAGGGUGACGCACUGGCCCUCUUCCUCGGUGUCCUCAGACAGGGUCUCUCACUCUGUCGCUGGUUGGAGUGCAGU
RNAcentral lists this long non-coding RNA (530 nucleotides) under Homo sapiens (human). RNAcentral describes it as "HSALNT0390043". The record is from RNAcentral. Lineage: Eukaryota; Metazoa; Chordata; Mammalia; Primates; Hominidae.